UUCAGCUGCUAGCAUAGGUGCCUUUUAACAGGCUUAUACCUCAGCCAGGAACAGCUUGGUUGCAGUCACUGACCCCUCACAGAUGGAAAAAAAAUGACCUCAUCUUUGCCUCUUUUCUGGGAAAGCUUUAGCUGGCAGGGGGAUAAGAAACAAAAAGAACCUUAAUUUUGUCCCUUAGUAAUGCUAAAUGAAUGCACUGCACCAGACACCACCUUAAACUGGCUGAAGGGCACUGCUCAGUUUUGCAGGCAGCAGCUCAGACUGUGAGCAUCAUCCACAAGGGGACAGCAUCCACAUCCACACUGGAAAGAUGCCGUUUGUGUCGGUGAGGAACAGAAAGGGGAGCAGCCAUUGCUGAAAGCACCCAAAAAUUUAAAAAAACCCACCACCACCAACAAAAAAAACAAAAACCCAAGAAAGAAAGAAGAAAAAAAGAAGAUAUUUCCUGGAUUAUUGCUUCUGGAUGGAGAGAGAGGAGAGGUAAGCAAGACACAUCCAGAACAUGCCCCAGUUGCUCAGUAUAUACAUUGGAAUCCAUCUUGGGAGCUUUGCAAAGAAAGAAAAGUAAUAAAUAAACUCCUAAUGACAAGAUCACAUAUUUCAACUACAUCUGGAAAGUUCAGAAAGCCACUUUGAAGAUACUGUCUCUAGAUGAGUCUGAUAAACACAGUUAAAAGCUAUUGUGCCUACAUGUCGCCAAAUACACAACUGACAAGUUUAAAGAGAGAUACUCCACUAAUAAAAUGGAUGAUAAGUAAAUAUAUGUUACA
Molecule: long non-coding RNA, 770 nt
Filed under: Parus major (Great Tit)
Lineage: Eukaryota; Metazoa; Chordata; Aves; Passeriformes; Paridae
Description: lncRNA (ENSPMJG00000012117.1)
Source: RNAcentral